UACGAAGGGGGCUAGCGCUGCUCGGAAUCACUGGGCGUAAAGCGCACGUAGGCGGAUUGCUAAGUCAGGGGUGAAAUCCUGGAGCUCAACUCCAGAACUGCCUUUGAUACUGGCGAUCUCGAGUCCGGGAGAGGUGAGUGGAACUGCGAGUGUAGAGGUGAAAUUCGUAGAUAUUCGCAAGAACACCAGUGGCGAAGGCGGCUCACUGGCCCGGUACUGACGCUGAGGUGCGAAAGCGUGGGGAGCAAACAGG
RNAcentral lists this ribosomal RNA (253 nucleotides) under uncultured bacterium. Its description in RNAcentral is "partial 16S ribosomal RNA". It matches the Rfam family "Bacterial small subunit ribosomal RNA", at positions 524 to 776 of the family's 1533-position model. The record is from RNAcentral.